UAAAGAAUUUCGGUCAUCGAUGGGGAUGCGUUCCAUUAGCUUGUUGGCGGGGUAACGGCCCACCAAGGCAUCGAUGGAUAGGGGUUCUGAGAGGAAGGUCCCCCACAUUGGAACUGAGACACGGUCCAAACUCCUACGGGAGGCAGCAGUGAGGAAUAUUGGUCAAUGGGCGCUAGCCUGAACCAGCCAAGUAGCGUGAAGGAUGACUGCCCUAUGGGUUGUAAACUUCUUUUAUAUGGGAAUAAAGUGCAGUAUGUAUACUGCUUUGCAUGUACCUUAUGAAUAAGGAUCGGCUAACUCCGUGCCAGCAGCCGCGGUAAUACGGAGGAUCCGAGCGUUAUCCGGAUUUAUUGGGUUUAAAGGGAGCGUAGGCGGGUUGUUAAGUCAGUUGUGAAAGUUUGCGGCUCAACCGUAAAAUUGCAGUUGAUACUGGCAUCCUUGAGUACAGUAGAGGUAGGCGGAAUUCGUGGUGUAGCGGUGAAAUGCUUAGAUAUCACGAAGAACUCCGAUUGCGAAGGCAGCCUGCUGGACUGUAACUGACGCUGAUGCUCGAAAGUGUGGGUAUCAAACAGGAUUAGAUACCCUGGUAGUCCACACAGUAAACGAUGAAUACUCGCUGUUUG
RNAcentral lists this ribosomal RNA (623 nucleotides) under uncultured bacterium. RNAcentral describes it as "bacterial SSU rRNA". It matches the Rfam family "Bacterial small subunit ribosomal RNA", at positions 202 to 826 of the family's 1533-position model. The record is from RNAcentral.